AUGAUUUCAGUCCUUAAUGGACCUCUAGGCCCAAGACAGCUAAGCCAUAUGAGAACUGUAUCUUGUUUUGGUCUCCUACCCACUUGGCAGGCUCUAACUUGUGGCAGCAUUGAAGCAUGGCAACUCUUGGAAAGCCUGGGUCCUGUAAGCAAGCACAGAAAGCACAAAAACACUGGACUAGUCUGCUACAAGGAGGUUAAAUGCAAUAUGAGAAUGCAAAGGUGUGGAAGAAAAUUCAAGUACAAGAAUGAGGAGCGGAGUAUCUUUCCUAAUGUAUUUAUAAUUCAUAUUUUCAUAUUUCUGUUACCAUGCAAUGUGGUAAAUCCUGGAGAAAGCUGAGAAAAAAAAAAAAAAAGAUAAAAAUAAAUAAAUAAAUAAAAUGGUUAUUUUAUUCCCACCAAAAAAUCUCUUCUAAGGGUUGGUGUAUCAUGAGGUUUCUGUUCUCCUCUCUCUAUUGACAUAAGUAAUCAUGCAUGCUUUUAGUUGAGAAAGUAAUAUUCUUUGUCUUUCUAACAAAGAUUUUAUUGCUACUAUGAUGGGUCAAAGUGUUGCACACUGACCUGCAAAGGGGGAAAAAAAAAACUCUUAUAAAACCAAAUGUCUUUCAGAGUUACAAUUAUUUGCAAUUAUCUAAUUCAGCAUAAAAGGCAAACAUGAUGUCACAGGGUCUUUGAUACUAUAAAAGACUCCUUUUGUGAAAGGCCUUUGAUCCUUACUAAUCCACACGCCAGGUAUUGCUGAUUUAAUUGCCUGAAAGGUAAAUAUAAAUUACUGAGCAGAUCUUUGUGCUAAUUUUAUUUAUUGUAAUUGUUUUUUUAUGGAUUUUUUCACACUGGGAAGUGUUUCUGUUGCAUUUCAUUAAUAUUUUAAUGAGCUCCAAAUAGAUACUUUUAAUUCUAUAGAAAAAGUUAAAACCAUUGUGAACUUGAUAACAUUUGCUUAAAAACAUAUGUGAUGGAGGAAACAGCACUGACUUCAUCACGUGCACAGUUGUGUGCGAGUGUAUGUG
Molecule: long non-coding RNA, 1009 nt
Filed under: Anas zonorhyncha (Eastern spot-billed duck)
Lineage: Eukaryota; Metazoa; Chordata; Aves; Anseriformes; Anatidae
Description: lncRNA (ENSAZOG00000017203.1)
Source: RNAcentral